This 485-nucleotide ribosomal RNA is filed under the name uncultured bacterium. RNAcentral's name for it is "bacterial SSU rRNA". It matches the Rfam family "Bacterial small subunit ribosomal RNA", at positions 28 to 512 of the family's 1533-position model. The record is from RNAcentral.
GAUGAACGCUAGCGGCAGGCUUAAUACAUGCAAGUCGAGGGGCAUCAAGGUACACGAAAGUGUAUUGUUGGCGACCGGCGGACGGGUGAGUAAUAGGUAGGUAACCUACCUCAUACUGAGGCAUAGCUGGGAGAAAUUCCAGGUAAUUCCUCAUGAGGUUAUAUGACACAUGUGAUAUAAUCAAAGGUAUCGCAAGGUACUGGUAUGAGAUGGGCUUACUGACCAUUAGCUAGUUGGUGAGAUAAGAGCUCACCAAGGCGAAGAUGGUUAGGGUUUUGAGAGAGAGAUCCCCACAUUGGAACUGAGAUACGGUCCAGACUCCUACGGGAGGCAGCAGUAGGGAAUAUUGCGCAAUGGACGGAAGUCUGACGCAGCGACGCCGCGUGAGCGAUGAAGGUCUUCGGAUCGUAAAGCUCUGUCCUUGGGGAAGAAGGCGAAAGCUUGACGGUACCCAAGAAGAAAGCCCCGGCUAACUACGUGCCAGC